Molecule: ribosomal RNA, 524 nt
Filed under: uncultured bacterium
Lineage: Bacteria
Description: partial 16S ribosomal RNA
Rfam family: Bacterial small subunit ribosomal RNA
Source: RNAcentral
GACGAACGCUGGCGGCGUGCCUAAUACAUGCAAGUCGAGCGCAGGAAACUGACGGAACUCUUCGGAGGAAAGGCAGCGGAAUGAGCGGCGGACGGGUGAGUAACACGUAAGGAACCUGCCUCAAGGAUUGGGAUAACUCCGAGAAAUCGGAGCUAAUACCGAAUAGUUCAACGGACCGCAUGGUCCGCUGAUGAAAGGCGCUCCGGCGUCACCUUGAGAUGGCCUUGCGGUGCAUUAGCUAGUUGGUGGGGUAACGGCCCACCAAGGCGACGAUGCAUAGCCGACCUGAGAGGGUGAUCGGCCACACUGGGACUGAGACACGGCCCAGACUCCUACGGGAGGCAGCAGUAGGGAAUCUUCCACAAUGGACGAAAGUCUGAUGGAGCAACGCCGCGUGAGUGAUGAAGGUUUUCGGAUCGUAAAACUCUGUUGUAAGGGAAGAACACGUACGAGAGGGAAUGCUCGUACCUUGACGGUACCUUACGAGAAAGCCACGGCUAACUACGUGCCAGCCGCCGCGGUAA